Molecule: small nucleolar RNA, 145 nt
Organism: Ictidomys tridecemlineatus (thirteen-lined ground squirrel)
Lineage: Eukaryota; Metazoa; Chordata; Mammalia; Rodentia; Sciuridae
Source: Ensembl
CUUCAAUGAAGAGAUGAUGACGAGUCUGACUUGGUUCAUCUUUGGCCAUGCGGCCCUACUCUGUGCUACGUUCUGUGGCACAGUUUAAAGGACCCUGGUAGAAGAAACUAAGUAAAGAUGACCUAGAGGCAUUUGUCUGAGAAGG